Molecule: ribosomal RNA, 480 nt
Filed under: uncultured bacterium
Lineage: Bacteria
Description: partial 16S ribosomal RNA
Rfam family: Bacterial small subunit ribosomal RNA
Source: RNAcentral
GACGAACGCUGGCGGCGUGCUUAACACAUGCAAGUCGAACGAUGAAGCAAAGAAUCGAAGCUUCGGCAGAAAUUCAUUUCGGAUUAGUGGCAGACGGGUGAGUAACGCGUGAGCAACCUACCUCUUACAAAGGGAUAGCCUCGGGAAACCGGGAUUAAUACCAUAUAACAUUGCGACGAAGCAUUUCGAUGCAAUCAAAGCUACGGCGGUAAGAGAUGGGCUCGCGUCCCAUUAACCGGAUGGUGAGGUAACGGCUCACCAUAGUGACGAUGGGUAACCGGCCUGAGAGGGUGAACGGUCACACUGGAACUGAGACACGGUCCAGACUCCUACGGGAGGCAGCAGUGGGGAAUAUUGCACAAUGGAGGGAACUCUGAUGCAGCGACGCCGCGUGAGUGAUGAAGGAAUUCGUUGCGUAAAACUCUGUUCUAUGGGAAGAAAAGGACUGUACCAUAGGAGAAAGCUCCGGCUAAAUACGUG